This 712-nucleotide ribosomal RNA is filed under the name uncultured archaeon. RNAcentral's name for it is "bacterial SSU rRNA". It matches the Rfam family "Archaeal small subunit ribosomal RNA", at positions 150 to 863 of the family's 1478-position model. The record is from RNAcentral.
UACCGGAUAGGUCACUUCGGCUGGAAGGCGUUGUGGUUGAAACUUCCGGGGCUUUUGGAUGGGUCUGCGGCUGAUUAGGUUGUUGCCGGUGUAAUGUACCGUCAAGCCUGUAAUCAGUACGGGUUGUGGGAGCAAGAGCCCGGAGAUGGAUUCUGAGACACGAAUCCAGGCCCUACGGGGCGCAGCAGGCGCGAAAACUCUACAAUGCAGGCAACUGCGAUAGGGGGACAUCGAGUGGCAUCCACCUUGGGGGUCUGUCCACCCGCCUAAAAAGCGGGUGUUAGCAAGGGCCGGGCAAGACCGGUGCCAGCCGCCGCGGUAAUACCGGCGGCUCGAGUGGUGGCCGAUAUUAUUGAGUCUAAAGGGUCCGUAGCCGGCUUUGCAAGUCUCUCGGGAAAUCCAGCGGCUUAACCGUUGGGCUGUCGGGGGGUACUACAUUGCUUGGGACUGGGAGAGGUAGGAGGUACUCAGGGGGUAGGAGUGAAAUCCUGUAAUCCUUUGGGGACCACCGGUGGCGAAGGCGUCUCGCCAGAACAGGUCCGACGGUGAGGGACGAGAGCCAGGGGCACGAACCGGAUUAGAUACUCGGGUAGUCCUAGCCGUAAACGAUGCUCGCUAGGUGUCACAACAGUCGUGAACUGUUGUGGUGCCGUAGGGAAGCCGUGAAGCGAGCCACUUGGGAAGUACGACCGCAAGGUUGAAACUUAAAGGA